CGGCAUGGCUGGGCGCAGCCUGAUCAGCCAUGCCGCGUGUGUGAAGAAGGCCUUAUGGUUGUAAAGCACUUUAAGCGAGGAGGAGGCUACUUUAGUUAAUACCUAGAGAUAGUGGACGUUACUCGCAGAAUAAGCACCGGCUAACUCUGUGCCAGCAGCCGCGGUAAUACAGAGGGUGCAAGCGUUAAUCGGAUUUACUGGGCGUAAAGCGCGCGUAGGCGGCUAAUUAAGUCAAAUGUGAAAUCCCCGAGCUUAACUUGGGAAUUGCAUUCGAUACUGGUUAGCUAGAGUGUGGGAGAGGAUGGUAGAAUUCCAGGUGUAGCGGUGAAAUGCGUAGAGAUCUGGAGGAAUACCGAUGGCGAAGGCAGCCAUCUGGCCUAACACUGACGCUGAGGUGCGAAAGCAUGGGGAGCAAACAGGAUUAGAUACCCUGGUAGUCCAUGCCGUAAACGAUGUCUACUAGCCGUUGGGGCCUUUGAGGCUUUAGUGGCGCAGCUAACGCGAUAAGUAGACCGCCUGGGGAGUACGGUCGCAAGACUAAAACUCAAAUGAAUUGACGGGGGCCCGCACAAGCGGUGGAGCAUGUGGUUUAAUUCGAUGCAACGCGAAGAACCUUACCUGGCCUUGACAUAGUAAGAACUUUCCAGAGAUGGAUUGGUGCCUUCGGGAACUUACAUACAGGUGCUGCAUGGCUGUCGUCAGCUCGUGUCGUGAGAUGUUGGGUUAAGUCCCGCAACGAGCGCAACCCUUUUCCUUAUUUGCCAGCGAGUAAUGUCGGGAACUUUAAGGAUACUGCCAGUGACAAACUGGAGGAAGGCGGGGACGACGUCAAGUCAUCAUGGCCCUUACGGCCAGGGCUACACACGUGCUACAAUGGUCGGUACAAAGGGUUGCUACCUAGCGAUAGGAUGCUAAUCUCAAAAAGCCGAUCGUAGUCCGGAUUGGAGUCUGCAACUCGACUCCAUGAAGUCGGAAUCGCUAGUAAUCGCGGAUCAGAAUGCCGCGGUGAAUACGUUUCCCGGGCCUUGUACACACCGCCCGUCACACCAUGGGAGUUUGUUGCACAGAGUAGCUAGCCUAACUGCAAGAGGGCGGUUACCACGGUGUGGCCGAUGACUGGGGUGAGUACCAAAGAGGAGGAACAUACACACA
RNAcentral lists this ribosomal RNA (1152 nucleotides) under Acinetobacter sp. Its description in RNAcentral is "bacterial SSU rRNA". It matches the Rfam family "Bacterial small subunit ribosomal RNA", at positions 357 to 1533 of the family's 1533-position model. Lineage: Bacteria; Pseudomonadati; Pseudomonadota; Gammaproteobacteria; Moraxellales; Moraxellaceae. The record is from RNAcentral.